RNAcentral lists this ribosomal RNA (481 nucleotides) under uncultured bacterium. RNAcentral describes it as "partial 16S ribosomal RNA". It matches the Rfam family "Bacterial small subunit ribosomal RNA", at positions 28 to 507 of the family's 1533-position model. The record is from RNAcentral.
GAUGAACGCUGGCGGCGUGCUUAACACAUGCAAGUCGAACGAAGCACUUUAUUUGAUUUCCUUCGGGACUGAUUAUUUUGUGACUGAGUGGCGGACGGGUGAGUAACGCGUGGGUAACCUGCCUUGUACAGGGGGAUAACAGUUGGAAACGGCUGCUAAUACCGCAUAAGCGCACAGCAUCGCAUGAUGCAGUGUGAAAAACUCCGGUGGUAUAAGAUGGACCCGCGUUGGAUUAGCUAGUUGGUGAGGUAACGGCCCACCAAGGCGACGAUCCAUAGCCGACCUGAGAGGGUGACCGGCCACAUUGGGACUGAGACACGGCCCAAACUCGUACGGGAGGCAGCAGUGGGGAAUAUUGCACAAUGGGCGAAAGGCUGAUGCAGCGACGCCGCGUGAGCGAAGAAGUAUUUCGGUAUGUAAAGCUCUAUCAGCAGGGAAGAUAAUGACGGUACCUGACGAAGAAGCACCGGCUAAAUACGUG